This 492-nucleotide ribosomal RNA is filed under the name uncultured bacterium. RNAcentral describes it as "partial 16S ribosomal RNA". It matches the Rfam family "Bacterial small subunit ribosomal RNA", at positions 30 to 507 of the family's 1533-position model. The record is from RNAcentral.
AUUGAACGCUGGCGGCAUGCUUUACACAUGCAAGUCGAACGGUAACAGGCCUUCGGGUGCUGACGAGUGGCGAACGGGUGAGUAAUGCAUCGGAACGUGCCCAGAGGUGGGGGAUAACGCAGCGAAAGCUGUGCUAAUACCGCAUGUGAUCUGAGGAUGAAAGCGGGGGACCAGGCAGCAAUGUUUGGCCUCGCGCCUUUGGAGCGGCCGAUGUCAGAUUAGGUAGUUGGUGGGGUAAAGGCCUACCAAGCCGACGAUCUGUAGCUGGUCUGAGAGGACGACCAGCCACACUGGGACUGAGACACGGCCCAGACUCCUACGGGAGGCAGCAGUGGGGAAUUUUGGACAAUGGGCGCAAGCCUGAUCCAGCAAUGCCGCGUGCGGGAAGAAGGCCUUCGGGUUGUAAACCGCUUUUGUACGGAACGAAAAGGCUCUGGCUAAUACCUGGGGCUGAUGACGGUACCGUAAGAAAAAGCACCGGCUAACUACGUG